RNAcentral lists this ribosomal RNA (231 nucleotides) under uncultured bacterium. RNAcentral describes it as "partial 16S ribosomal RNA". It matches the Rfam family "Bacterial small subunit ribosomal RNA", at positions 99 to 334 of the family's 1533-position model. The record is from RNAcentral.
CGGACGGGUGAGUAAUGUCUGGGAAACUGCCUGAUGGAGGGGGAUAACUACUGGAAACGGUAGCUAAUACCGCAUAACGUCGCAAGACCAAAGGGGGGACCUUCGGGCCUCUUGCCAUCGGAUGUGCCCAGAUGGGAUUAGCUAGUAGGUGGGGUAACGGCUCACCUAGGCGACGAUCCCUAGCUGGUCUGAGAGGAUGACCAGCCACACUGGAACUGAGACACGGUCCAG